AUUGAACGCUGGCGGCAGGCUUAACACAUGCAAGUCGAGCGGGGUGAUGGUGCUUGCACUAUCACUUAGCGGCGGACGGGUGAGUAAUGCUUAGGAAUCUGCCUAUUAGUGGGGGACAACAUCUCGAAAGGGAUGCUAAUACCGCAUACGUCCUACGGGAGAAAGCAGGGGACCGCUUGUGACCUUGCGCUAAUAGAUGAGCCUAAGUCGGAGUAGCUAGUUGGUGGGGUAAAGGCCUACCAAGGCGACGAUCUGUAGCGGGUCUGAGAGGAUGAUCCGCCACACUGGGACUGAGACACGGCCCAGACUCCUACGGGAGGCAGCAGUGGGGAAUAGUGGACAAUGGGGGGAACCCUGAUCUAGCAAUGCCGCGUGUGUGAAGAAGGCCUUAUGGUUGUAAAGCACUUUAAGCGAGGAGGAGGCUCUUUUGGUUAAUACCCAAGAUGAGUGGACGUUACUCGCAGAAUAAGCACCGGCUAACUCUGUGCCAGCAGCCGCCGUAA
RNAcentral lists this ribosomal RNA (503 nucleotides) under uncultured bacterium. RNAcentral's name for it is "partial 16S ribosomal RNA". It matches the Rfam family "Bacterial small subunit ribosomal RNA", at positions 30 to 523 of the family's 1533-position model. The record is from RNAcentral.